CAGCCAGCCCGACGGUAUUACGGUAGGGGUGCGAGGCGGUUAAUCGGAAUUACUUGGGCGUAAAGCGCAUGCCAGGUUGGUUUUGUUAAGUUCAAGAUGUGAAAGCUCGGGGGCUCAAACCUCGGAACUGCAUUUUGAAACCUGCGGGACUAGAGUUCUGUAGAGGGGGGUAGAAUUUCAGGUGUAGCGGUGAAAUGCGUAGAGAUCUGAAGGAAUACCGGUGGCGAAGGCGGCCCCCUGGACAGAUACUGACACUCAGAUGCGAAAGCGUGGGGAGCAAAACAGGAUUAGAUACCCUGGUAGUACACGCCGUAAAACGAUGUCUACUUGGAGGUUGUGGCCUUGAGCCGUGGCUUUCGGAGCUAACGCGUUAAGUAGACCGCCUGGGGAGUACGGUCGCAAGAUUAAAACUCAAAUGAAUUGACGGGGGCCCGCACAAGCGGUGGAGCAUGUGGUUUAAUUCGAUGCAACGCGAAGAACCUUACCUACUCUUGACAUCCAGAGAAGCCAGCGGAGACGCAGGUGUGCCUUCGGGAGCUCUGAGACAGGUGCUGCAUGGCUGUCGUCAGCUCGUGUUGUGAAAUGUUGGGUUAAGUCCCGCAACGAGCGCAACCCUUAUCCUUGUUUGCCAGCGAGUAAUGUCGGGAACUCCAGGGAGACUGCCGGUGAUAAACCGGAGGAAGGUGGGGACGACGUCAAGUCAUCAUGGCCCUUACGAGUAGGGCUACACACGUGCUACAAUGGCGCAUACAGAGGGCAGCCAACUUGCGAAAGUGAGCGAAUCCCAAAAAGUGCGUCGUAGUCCGGAUUGGAGUCUGCAACUCGACUCCAUGAAGUCGGAAUCGCUAGUAAUCGUAGAUCAGAAUGCUACGGUGAAUACGUUCCCGGGCCUUGUACACACCGCCCGUCACUCCAUGGGAGUGGGCUGCAAAAGAAGUGGGUAGUUUAACCUUCGGGAGGACGCUCACCACUUUGUGUUCAGACCGU
This 987-nucleotide ribosomal RNA is filed under the name marine bacterium 33hu2(4)b. RNAcentral describes it as "bacterial SSU rRNA". It matches the Rfam family "Bacterial small subunit ribosomal RNA", at positions 509 to 1478 of the family's 1533-position model. The record is from RNAcentral.